UAAGCGACUAAGCGUACACGGUGGAUGCCCUGGCAGUCAGAGGCGAUGAAGGACGUGCUAAUCUGCGAUAAGCGUCGGUAAGGUGAUAUGAACCGUUAUAACCGGCGAUUUCCGAAUGGGGAAACCCAGUGUGUUUCGACACACUAUCAUUAACUGAAUCCAUAGGUUAAUGAGGCGAACCGGGGGAACUGAAACAUCUAAGUACCCCGAGGAAAAGAAAUCAACCGAGAUUCCCCCAGUAGCGGCGAGCGAACGGGGAGCAGCCCAGAGCCUGAAUCAGUGUGUGUGUUAGUGGAAGCGUCUGGAAAGGCGCGCGAUACAGGGUGACAGCCCCGUACACAAAAAUGCACAUAUUGUGAGCUCGAUGAGUAGGGCGGGACACGUGGUAUCCUGUCUGAAUAUGGGGGGACCAUCCUCCAAGGCUAAAUACUCCUGACUGACCGAUAGUGAACCAGUACCGUGAGGGAAAGGCGAAAAGAACCCCGGCGAGGGGAGUGAAAAAGAACCUGAAACCGUGUACGUACAAGCAGUGGGAGCCUCUUUUAUGGGGUGACUGCGUACCUUUUGUAUAAUGGGUCAGCGACUUAUAUUCUGUAGCAAGGUUAACCGAAUAGGGGAGCCGAAGGGAAACCGAGUCUUAACUGGGCGUUAAGUUGCAGGGUAUAGACCCGAAACCCGGUGAUCUAGCCAUGGGCAGGUUGAAGGUUGGGUAACACUAACUGGAGGACCGAACCGACUAAUGUUGAAAAAUUAGCGGAUGACUUGUGGCUGGGGGUGAAAGGCCAAUCAAACCGGGAGAUAGCUGGUUCUCCCCGAAAGCUAUUUAGGUAGCGCCUCGUGAAUUCAUCUCCGGGGGUAGAGCACUGUUUCGGCAAGGGGGUCAUCCCGACUUACCAACCCGAUGCAAACUGCGAAUACCGGAGAAUGUUAUCACGGGAGACACACGGCGGGUGCUAACGUCCGUCGUGAAGAGGGAAACAACCCAGACCGCCAGCUAAGGUCCCAAAGUCAUGGUUAAGUGGGAAACGAUGUGGGAAGGCCCAGACAGCCAGGAUGUUGGCUUAGAAGCAGCCAUCAUUUAAAGAAAGCGUAAUAGCUCACUGGUCGAGUCGGCCUGCGCGGAAGAUGUAACGGGGCUAAACCAUGCACCGAAGCUGCGGCAGCGACGCUUAUGCGUUGUUGGGUAGGGGAGCGUUCUGUAAGCCUGUGAAGGUGUGCUGUGAGGCAUGCUGGAGGUAUCAGAAGUGCGAAUGCUGACAUAAGUAACGAUAAAGCGGGUGAAAAGCCCGCUCGCCGGAAGACCAAGGGUUCCUGUCCAACGUUAAUCGGGGCAGGGUGAGUCGACCCCUAAGGCGAGGCCGAAAGGCGUAGUCGAUGGGAAACAGGUUAAUAUUCCUGUACUUGGUGUUACUGCGAAGGGGGGACGGAGAAGGCUAUGUUGGCCGGGCGACGGUUGUCCCGGUUUAAGCGUGUAGGCUGGUUUUCCAGGCAAAUCCGGAAAAUCAAGGCUGAGGCGUGAUGACGAGGCACUACGGUGCUGAAGCAACAAAUGCCCUGCUUCCAGGAAAAGCCUCUAAGCAUCAGGUAACAUCAAAUCGUACCCCAAACCGACACAGGUGGUCAGGUAGAGAAUACCAAGGCGCUUGAGAGAACUCGGGUGAAGGAACUAGGCAAAAUGGUGCCGUAACUUCGGGAGAAGGCACG
Molecule: ribosomal RNA, 1704 nt
Filed under: Marinobacterium alkalitolerans
Lineage: Bacteria; Pseudomonadati; Pseudomonadota; Gammaproteobacteria; Oceanospirillales; Oceanospirillaceae
Description: partial 23S ribosomal RNA
Rfam family: Bacterial large subunit ribosomal RNA
Source: RNAcentral